RNAcentral lists this unclassified non-coding RNA (327 nucleotides) under air metagenome. Its description in RNAcentral is "partial contains small subunit ribosomal RNA, internal transcribed spacer 1, and 5.8S ribosomal RNA". The stretch from base 1 to 46 matches the Rfam family "Eukaryotic small subunit ribosomal RNA", at positions 1786 to 1831 of the family's 1831-position model. The record is from RNAcentral.
AAGUCGUAACAAGGUUUCCGUAGGUGAACCUGCGGAAGGAUCAUUAACGAAUAAACUUGGUGGAUUGUAGCUGGCUCCCUAGGGAGCAUGUGCACGUCUGUCAUCUUUAUCUUUCCACCUGUGCACUUUUUGUAGACCUGGAGAAAACCCACUUCUGAGCUAGCUCAGGCAUGAGGAGUUGUAGGCUUUUUGCAAGUCAGCUCUCCUUGAGUAUCCAGGCCUAUGUUUUUUCACAUACACCAAUGAAAUGUAACAGAACGUAGUCAAUGGGUCUUUGUACCUAUAACAAAAAAUAUACAACUUUCAGCAACGGAUCUCUUGGCUCUC